CCCGACUCUGCAGGAGAGAGGAGUCCAAGAGCCAGGGCUGCACACAGGCGAAGCCCCUACCCUGAGCCCUCUGCCUCCCCUGAGGCUGGGCCUCACCAGUAUCUGGCAGCUGUCCCUCGUGGAGGAAGGUGGCAGCCUGAGCAAAAGCCUUGAGUGGCGGGCUGAGCAGGCGGCAGAGGAAGAGGAAGAAGUCAGGGCAGCGUGACUGUUGACUGAGCUGGAGGAAGACAGGCCAGGGUAAGAGCAGCUCCCACUGCCUCCCUCCCCUGGUGGCUUCUCCCAACGUACCCUGAAGUACCGGCCCUCAGCUUCCUCAAAGUCAUCACUGUCACUAUCAGUGAAGUCCCCGCUUGGUUUCCACAGCAGUUUUGCACUCAAAUGCUGCCGCCCUGUGUCACAGGCUGGCCGGGAGCCUGGGGUCUGGGGGAGCCAUUGGUCCCUGUCAGGCCAGCCAAGGUUCAGCCCUGAGCUCCCCCAGACCGGGUACAUGCUGGCCAGGCCUGUGGAGGUGAAACCAGCAAAAGCAGACCUAGGGAGCCCAAGAGGAUACCCCAGGCCACUCAAGACCAUGACACCUGCCAAGCCAACUUGCAGGGUAGAAGCGAGCACUCACCCUCAAGGGCCGUGGCUCACCACCCUCAAGAAAUGUGCAACUAGGAGCCCACACUGGAUGAGACGGUCCAGCACCUCCUGACAGUAGCAGUAGGAAGACUGGCAGGGCUGGGGAGAAAGGCAUCCAUGUGGCCUCAGGAGAGCCAGGCGCUGGGCAGGGGCCUGGCCAGAGGCGAGGCCAGACCAGAUCUACUGGACACCAUAGGGUCAGUGCUCAGGCAAGCACGGGCCCCUCCUACACCCAAGAAGGGGAGGCCUAGGACUGAGCUGGGUUGGCGGGAGAGGCCUGACCUGCAGCAGCAGCAGGUCCUGCGGCAGCAAGUGCAACAGGAGCAGGAUCUGGCGGUACAGCUCCUUCUGGCUCAGCAGCUCGAUGCCUUGCAGCUCGCAGGGCCCCUCAGGCGGCACCCUGCCCGCCAGCAGCCCCCGCACAGCACAGGCUGGGGGAGGAGGGGGCCAGUGGUCAGGAAGAGAAGCCAUUCCCCUCACCCCUACACACAUCCCACCCACCCCAAGCCCUGGGGACUCACCACCCACAGCCUCGCUCAGGAAGGCGGGCAGCAGCCCAGCGCUCAGGCGGGCCAGGUGCAUGAGGCCUGGGCCGGGCCGAGGAACCACCAGCAAGUCCCCCUGAUGGACGCGCAUCAGGGCCACGUGCGCCCGCAGCAGGCUUAGCGUGUGCUGCACCAGGCACCGCAGCUGCCCUGAGAAGCCCACGUCAAAGCCACGCAGCAGUGUCUCCUCUGUCAGCCAGGAGAACUCCCCCAGGAGCUGUGACAGGAGCACGCCCUGGGUGGGCAGUGAGGGGCUGAGCGGGAGGGCCGCACCUCCUCCCCAGCCCCCACCGCACCGUGCCCUACCUUCCGGUGCUUGAACAGCAGCAGCGUCGCCAUGAUGGCCGUGCUCAUCACCGCCGAGCUCGCCACGCAGGCUGGGGCCGGGGGUGGGGGAUGCUGGUCAGGGGCCAAGGCCCAGCAGCCUGGGCCCUCCGUCACCAAGCAGGUCUUUCCAGCCAAGGGCAUACCUCCCCAGCAGCCCCUCAGACACCCCCCCAACUCCACCCCUGGGAAAGGGAGAACAGGCUUGGUCCUUGGGCCCCACCCUCCCCAGUGGAGAACUGGCAUUUAUCAAGUAUAUGUUGAGAGCCAAGCUGGGAGCUCAGGGUCCUUCCCUGCCUCUUGUAGGCCUACUAGCCACCAACCCCACAGCCUCUGCCAUGGAAGGGACACUUAAGAUGGUAGUAAAGCUGUUAAGAGCC
Camelus dromedarius (Arabian camel) is the source of this 1870-nucleotide long non-coding RNA. RefSeq lists it as uncharacterized. Lineage: Eukaryota; Metazoa; Chordata; Mammalia; Artiodactyla; Camelidae. The record is from RefSeq and is a predicted model, not a curated record. The transcript is spliced from 2 exons.